GUUUUUUGGAUUGUCUCUGGAAUUCUUAAUGUGGAGAACAGAGGAAGCCUUAAAAUGCCUGGAAGUGGUGCCUCUGACACAUCUACACUCUGCAAAGAGAAGAGAGCAGUUAGAAGAAGCCUUCUCCUCAUCAGGAUGUCCAUAUGGUUCCAAGUAGGAAGGAUUUCCACAUACAGCUCCAGAGAAACUCCCUCAGCAUUCAUCACUACUGGAUUUGGGAAUGUAAACCUCUUUUAAUGUAUUAUCCUAACUCUUCUGUUAAAGCAGUUCCACUGUGGACUGGAAGAGAAGAACAGGUAAGAUAAGUGGGAAAAUGUU
RNAcentral lists this long non-coding RNA (318 nucleotides) under Zonotrichia albicollis (white-throated sparrow). RNAcentral describes it as "lncRNA (ENSZALG00000010162.1)". Lineage: Eukaryota; Metazoa; Chordata; Aves; Passeriformes; Passerellidae. The record is from RNAcentral.